This 503-nucleotide long non-coding RNA is filed under the name Mustela putorius furo (domestic ferret). RNAcentral describes it as "lncRNA (ENSMPUG00000029975.1)". Lineage: Eukaryota; Metazoa; Chordata; Mammalia; Carnivora; Mustelidae. The record is from RNAcentral.
AUGAAGGACAGUUGGUUGCUACCAAGUUUCAGGCCUGGCUGUCAACCCAGUCCAAUGCAUCACAGUGAAAUUAAUCCAUCACUAAACAACCCAGAUGCCUAUUCAGCCAAAUUUCCUGCUGUCUCCAUUUUCCAAUUAACAUUGACUCUGAACACACUGAAAGGCGGCUCCUGCUUCCUCUGAAGCUGCUUCGACAAGGUUGCGAAUGGAUCACCAAGAUGCCGACUCAAAAGGAAUCUUUUCAGCACUUUUUUUCUUUUGACCUUUAUGCUUUAUUUUGAGAGCGUGUACCAGCUGGUCCUUCCUAAAACUUUCUACUCCUGGGCUUCUGUGACAAAAUUCUUUUCUAAUCUUCUGUCUUUCUGAUUAUAAACUAAAAAGCUCAUUCAUAAGGUACUUCCUCUUUCUCUCCUACCUUGUGACUAUGUUUUCAGCUUUUCAUUCUUAGUCCACUGUUCUUUUCAUUCUCCACAAUCUCCUCAGAUAAUCAUGAUUUGAACACC